GGGAAACGGGUUGAGGGGCCAGCCUCAGGCCCCAACAACGACUGGGGCA
Non-coding RNA from Bos taurus (domestic cattle), 49 nucleotides. Lineage: Eukaryota; Metazoa; Chordata; Mammalia; Artiodactyla; Bovidae. The record is from Rfam.